UACGGAGGAUCCAAGCGUUAUCCGGAUUUAUUGGGUUUAAAGGGUGCGUAGGCGGCUUAUUAAGUCAGGGGUGAAAGACGGUGGCUCAACCAUCGCAGUGCCUUUGAUACUGAUGAGCUUGAAUACACUUGAGGUAGACGGAAUGUGACAAGUAGCGGUGAAAUGCAUAGAUAUGUCACAGAACACCAAUUGCGAAGGCAGCUUACUAAGGUGUUAUUGACGCUGAGGCACGAAAGCGUGGGGAUCAAACAGG
RNAcentral lists this ribosomal RNA (253 nucleotides) under uncultured bacterium. RNAcentral describes it as "partial 16S ribosomal RNA". It matches the Rfam family "Bacterial small subunit ribosomal RNA", at positions 524 to 776 of the family's 1533-position model. The record is from RNAcentral.